This 497-nucleotide ribosomal RNA is filed under the name uncultured bacterium. RNAcentral describes it as "partial 16S ribosomal RNA". It matches the Rfam family "Bacterial small subunit ribosomal RNA", at positions 28 to 507 of the family's 1533-position model. The record is from RNAcentral.
GAUGAACGCUGGCGGCGUGCCUAAUACAUGCCAGUCGAGCGAACAGACGAGGAGCUUGCUCCUCUGACGUUAGCGGCGGACGGGUGAGUAACACGUGGAUAACCUACCUAUAAGACUGGGAUAACUUCGGGAAACCGGAGCUAAUACCGGAUAAUAUAUUGAACCGCAUGGUUCAAUAGUGAAAGACGGUUUUGCUGUCACUUAUAGAUGGAUGCGCGCCGCAUUAGCUAGUUGGUAAGGUAACGGCUUACCAAGGCAACGAUGCGUAGCCGACCUGAGAGGGUGAUCGGCCACACUGGAACUGAGACACGGUCCAGACUCCGACGGGAGGCAGCAGUAGGGAAUCUUCCGCAAUGGGCGAAAGCCUGACGGAGCAACGCCGCGCGAGUGAUGAAGGUCUUCGGAUCGUAAAACUCUGUUAUUAGGGAAGAACAAAUGUGUAAGUAACUAUGCACGUCUUGACGGUACCUAAUCAGAAAGCCACGGCUAACUACGUG